AUGAGACUUAUUGGUCAUCUUGGACCACUUGAUUGCACACAUGUUAGGGAUAGUGCUUUCAUUCAUGAUUUCCACAUUGCUAUGCCCCAUGACAUAUAUGCCUUGUGUGUUGCAUCCAAGUUGUUCAUUAUUUUCUCCUAUCAUAUGUUUGGUUACAACAAUGUCAUUUCUUCACAUAUGCCAUGUCCCAUUGCUUGCUACAUGAUUGACUUGAUUGCCUCACACAUGAUGAACAAUUGCUCUUUCCAUUGUGUUGAGUGCCACGACAUCUUCACUACACCCUAUGCACAUUAUGCUUGGAUUGUCUUGCACUUGCCCCAUGUGUUUAGACAUAUCAUUAUAUUUGGUGUUGUGGAUGAUUAUUAUGCCUACCAUAGACCUUUUGUUGAGCACUUUAUGCAUGUUUUCUAUGAUCACGAGGUAGAUGCUUGUUUACUUGUCACACAUAUUUGCAUCUCGACCUCCCAUUUGCAUGCUUGUUUCCAUGAUGUCCUUGAUUGUGCUCAAUUUAUAUGCUUAAAUGCCAUGCCACACUUCUUUGUCAAACCAUAUGCUAUGCUUGAUGACAACACUUGUUGGGUGAAUCACCUCUUGAAUGCUUGGUUUUGCAAUAACGCCAAUCACAUUUGUUUUUCCAAGUGCUUGUUAUCUUUGCUCCUUUCGAAGCAAUUACAAGACAGUGCGACAUUGGAGGGUGCCCAUUUGGAACUACAAGAUAAUGAAUGCUUGGUGAUCAUCCACUUCUACACGGUGACAUCAUCUCUUUCCCAUGGUGAUUUGGAUUUCGAUCUGAGGUUGGAUCUUUCCCAAGGGGGAGGGGAUGAUGCGGAGCAACAUAUGGACAUCACCAUGUCAAGAUUCCAUUUGGCAAGUGACACAUGCGACAUCUAA
This 891-nucleotide ribosomal RNA is filed under the name Triticum aestivum (bread wheat). RNAcentral's name for it is "partial small subunit ribosomal RNA". Lineage: Eukaryota; Viridiplantae; Streptophyta; Magnoliopsida; Poales; Poaceae. The record is from RNAcentral.